Humulus lupulus (European hop) is the source of this 106-nucleotide small nucleolar RNA. The record is from RefSeq and is a predicted model, not a curated record. Lineage: Eukaryota; Viridiplantae; Streptophyta; Magnoliopsida; Rosales; Cannabaceae.
AUUCAAUGGUGAUGUCAUUUUCUUAACAACUCCUUAAACCUCUCCCACACAUCAUAGAACGGCUCACCUUCUCUUUGGUGAAAAUUGUUGAUUUCACCUCUAUACC